This is a long non-coding RNA of Setaria italica (foxtail millet), 539 nucleotides long. RefSeq lists it as uncharacterized. The record is from RefSeq and is a predicted model, not a curated record. The transcript is spliced from 2 exons. Lineage: Eukaryota; Viridiplantae; Streptophyta; Magnoliopsida; Poales; Poaceae.
UCCGCCGGUCGAGUUUUUUUUGGCAUAUGCCUAUGCCAAAUUCUGUAGGGAGCGCGCGCUGAUUUUGCAACAGGAAGGAAAAUGUGUUGAAAUCUGCCAUAUGUGUUUCUUCUCCAGGGGAAGACUACCAGUGGAGAAGAGCGCGGUAGUUCUCUUAUCCAAUCGUCUUCGAUAUGAAUCUUUUUUCCUUGUUUUUUAAAUUGCAAUGCAUGCUCAAUCUACAUCUUUCAACAGAUGCUAGACCACUGCAGGAGAACUCAUAAAACAGAAGGCUUCCUAUGUGAGCGAAAAGGUUGUGUAACCAGGACGGAGACGCUUGGAGAUGCGGGGCAGCACCACCAUUAUUGUCACGGUUGACCGCGGCAGGACGCCCGGAACAAGGGGAGUUGAUGGGCAGAAGUCGUGGAUUGGUGGCGCAGGUACCUGGAGGAUCACAGUCACCCACGAGCAGUUGGGACCGUCGGUGAUGUUUUCAUGAAGCUCAACUCACAUGAUCGGCUCAGGAACUGUAGUGCUAUGAAGCAUCUUUGUUGUGCGCC